AAGGCGAAGAGAGGAAUAUUUUUUUUUUCACGUUUAAAUGAUAAAACAAACCAUAAAAAACUAUCUUGUUUCCUCUCCCUCCAAACUCGAUUCAGGAUCUAGAUUUCACAAUUCCUCUCAUUUUCUUUAUCUUCUUCUUCCUCCUCACUCUUUACUGAGUUUUCUAGGCUUUCUCUUUAAUGUUAAAUUCUUUCUUGUUCCGACUUUUGAUUCGGAAAAAUCAAAAGUUAGCGAAAAGGGACGAGUAAGAGAGGAGACGGAGAGAAUAGAGAACAUAUAGAGUUAAAGAAAAGUGAAGGGGCUAACUUUUGAAGAAAAAAUGUUCACAUGUUUUCGCUCCCUGCCACUGUUUUUGAGACACGUCCUUACACUCUGGUCCUUGAGCACACGGUUUUGUUUUACCACCUGAUUUCUUCCUUUUUUGGUUUAAACUUCAAAUCCUUCGCUCCAUUUUUCAAAUCCCCACCCUUUUUAGGAGUAACUGUUGGAUAAUACUACUCUCUGCUCUCUUACCACCCCCCCACCCCCCCCCCCCCCGGGUUCUUCCCCCGACCGGGGUUGGAGGGACAGCCUUCCGCCGCUCAAGCUCAGAUACAUCUAUCUAACCCACCGGAUAUGGAUAUUGGAAGAUACAGAGGCUCUUGGGUGGCUAUCUGUAACUUGAAACCCUGUUAGGUUUUUCAACUAAAGCUCUACCUUAUAUCCUUCUCUUCCUCACUCUUCACCACUCUCUUACGCUUAAUGAGAAGAAAAGAUACUAAAACUCUUUCUGUGAGAUUCACAACCAUGUCUAGAAGACUAUCUUACGCCGAAAAAGGCAAGGGCCUUGUAGCUCCAGCAGACCCCCAAAAAACAGCUAGAAUCAGGUCUCUGCUCUCGACAACUCAGAGCUCAUAAGAAAGCAUUCUCCUACUCGGUAGGUAGAAUCACAAACCCUAAUUUCCAAAGAAUGUGGUCUUUAAUCCCCUUUCUUGCUGAGCACUGGAAAGUAGAGACAACUACAGUGGGUGCAGAUCUGGAAAGGGCUGCUUCCAGUUUCAAUUUGCAUCUGAAAGUGAUGUCUUGAAGGUACUUGAGAACUGACCCUAACACUUCGCUCACUGGAUGAUAAUCUUGCAAAGGUGGGAACCUUCAAUCUCCCCAAGCUUCCCAAACCAAAUCCCUUUUUAGAUCUAAGUUCGGGGAUUAUCCCUCCAUCUCUGGUCCGAUGUGGCCCUAACCUCCAUUGCAAAUUACAUAGGGAUCUUUGAUACUGUCGAGAUAAUCUAAACAAAAGCUCGUAUCAAGUCCUGAUUGAAGGCCUCAACCUCUCAUCAAGAAAGCCACCUUCGAAUUUGACUCUGGUGAAGAAGUCUUAGCAACGCUGGUGUAUGAAAAACUCGAAAAAAUUGUUCCUGUUGGGGCAUGCUGGACCAUGAAGCUCAUGACUGCCCCCUACAUCAAGCUAAAUCUGGUCGAGCCCAUGAGUCAGAGAAGAGAACAGAACUACCAUCUCGAAACUACCAGGACCAGCGGAAGCAAGGAACCUAUACUUAUUCCACCUGCUUUUCAAUUGCCCCUACGCUGAAGAGGUUUGGAGUUUAGCUCCACUGGCUUUGACCUCGAGCCCGAGUCCCAUUUCUACUAAAAGCAAGGGACUUUCAAUGUUCUGAAGGAUCACGUCUCUCCCACUGGUGGCUUGGGAGCAGGAACGCUCUCUGCUUGGAUCUUCUGGAACCUAUGGAUCUCUAGGAAUCAUCUAGUCUUCCAGAAGAGAGUCUUCACCUUGAUUGAAUAAAUGGUGAAAACAAUCCAUGAAGCUUGCGAAUGUUUCACCUCAACAAUCCCCUUUUCUAAAUCUCCACCAUCAAACCCUAGCAUUAACCAGGAUCCUCUCCUAGACCCAGAUCGAGCUUGGAUGUACACAUAUGCAGCUUGGAACCCUGCCACUGAGUGCGCAUGCUUUGGUUGGAUCAUCGAUGAUGCGGGAUCAUCAUCCUCUCACUGAGUGACCUCCUCUUCGGUGACGUCGCCUCUUAUUGCGGAAACUUUGGUGAUGCGUUCAGCCAUGAUCUCUGCUCUCAAAUGUGGGAUUAGCUCUCUUCUGAUUCUCAGGUUCUCAUAAACUUGGUGAAAUCGCAUGGAAUACAUUUGGAGAUUGCUGGACUUCUCAAAGAUAUUAACCUUCUCUCUCUCUUAUUUUCGUUUAUCCAGUUUAAGUUUAUCCCAAGAUCAGUUAAUGUUAGAGCUGAUCUUGUUGCCAAACACGCUCUAGCUGUAAUGAACCAAUUUUAAGUUACUAUUGAAAGUCUUUUUCACAAAAAAAAGGAGAACAUAUAGAGUUCGAAGAUGGCAAAGAAAGGAGCCAGAGAUAAAUUUGAGGCUUAUUUGACAACACAUCAUAUUGAUUUAUUAGUAUACUAGUAUUAUAUCAUGUGCUCCACACGGGCAUUGUUUUUAUAAUUUACGACGGAUAUAAAUUUAUUUUCAAGGUUAUAAUUUACAAUGUAAAUUUAUACUAUUUUGAAGGUUAUAUCUUUAUAUAUAAAAGAGAGUUGUCUCUCUCCUGGUGAAGCCACAUGGGAUUCCAGGUCAGAAAGUCAGGCUCCAUGAGCGCGACACAUUCUGUCACGAUUAAUGGGCUUUUCUCUAUAUGUUAAUAAGUAUUUCAGAUCAGGAUUUUGGGCUUAAGAUAAUGGGGUUUCUAGGCUUGGUAUGUUGAGUAACACAUGAGGGGGUCCCACAUGAGACAACUUCUUCUCCAAAAAUAUUGUCGACGAACAAAUUACAGCGCCGCCCCAUUUUAACAACUCUGGUUCAAACCUACGGCCAAUGAAGAUUCGCUACACCGGCCAUGCUGAAUUUCGAUCAAGGUCAGUUGGAAGGCCUCAUAUUUGGCUGUUCAAUUCCACUUCUUCUACCCUUGGUUGAAUUUUGGAACCGUUAUGGAAGUCGGCUGGAUUCAUGCAUCCUCAUUGACUAUCACAUUAACACCAAUUUCCCACUACUCACACGAUCUAUCAUUCAAUGAACCUCUCAUUAAAUCCUUCGCUUGAAUUCUCCACUAUAAAUAUGCCGGCGGUUGUACUCCACCAUUGACGGUGGCUCCUCAGAUCCUGUGAGACUUAGAGUUUGAAGAAAUCCGGUUAACCUAUGGUUUUUUAUAUGCUUCUACUUGAUGCAAAAGUAAUUCUGUUAAAGGAAUGGAACGAGCACAAGAAACUAUUGUUAAAAUUGAAUCAGAGAGGCUGUCGCGAAACCUAAUUCCGACUAUGUUUUCUCUUUUAAAAACAUGAGAAGGGUCAAAAUGAUGCAGGUGUCCCCGUUACUUUGAAAAGGUCUAAAUAUCCCUUAUAUAUUGAAGGAGAAACAUUUACUUUAAUGCAUUCACACUAAACUCGACAUGUGUCGCUCUCACAGUCAAUUUAAAAUCGAUUGAAUAUAAUUUCUAUAAAAAAAUUCUUAUUUUCCUUAUAUAUACUAAA
This is a long non-coding RNA of Raphanus sativus (radish), 3464 nucleotides long. RefSeq lists it as uncharacterized. The record is from RefSeq and is a predicted model, not a curated record. The transcript is spliced from 3 exons. NCBI's taxonomy places the organism in Eukaryota, Viridiplantae, Streptophyta, Magnoliopsida, Brassicales, Brassicaceae.